Molecule: long non-coding RNA, 828 nt
Filed under: Manihot esculenta (cassava)
Lineage: Eukaryota; Viridiplantae; Streptophyta; Magnoliopsida; Malpighiales; Euphorbiaceae
Description: long non-coding RNA (MESC_LNC009195)
Source: RNAcentral
UGUAAAUCCUUUAAGGAUAGUCUUUCAUCCCGUAGUGUAGGCCUUUGUAACGUGCUGUAAUGUACUUUUCUUUUAAUGAAGUUCUUGUUCUGCUCUCAUGCUUAAGCUGUUCUUCUUUUAUCAUGUGUGAAAUACUUUAGAUUGCUCGCCUUACAAUUUUAACCAACUGAGCUCUGUCCUGCUUUUUCCCGAGCUGAUCUAACUUAUCUGCGAGCUCUGAUGAGUUGAACUCCGGAUCCACUUAGCCGACUGUGCUUUCAAGUUUCCGAGCUGGACUGUCUGACCGACCUGUGAGCUCGGUUUUUACUUCGAUGAAUUGAGCUUUGAGUCUCCUUCAUCCGACCGGGCUCUCAGGUCAAGUGUUCUGUCUUUGCUUAGUGAAAUGAGCUCUGAGUUUUCUUUAGCUGGCCGAGCUCCCAAGUCAUGCUGUCCGAGCUGGACUAAUUCGACCUCUGAGCUCGGCUUCUGAUGAGUUAAACUCUAAGCUCUCAGCUUAGUAUGGAUCUGAGGUAUCCUUGUCGUCUCUUUUCGAUCUCGUAACCCUUGUUUUAACAACAAGUCAAAUCUUAUAUGUAUUCUACGUGAUGAGUAGGUCUAACUUUUAUCAUGCUUUCAUCUGCUUGCAUCUUUGAGUUUUUCCUUCUAUUUCCUUGAUACUUACCACGGAUGUGGUGAAGUGAUGAAUCUUGUGGGUUAAGUUGUCUUGGCUGGAAAUCAGGUCCGAACAAGUUGGGCUUGCCUGGGCUUUUAAGUGAUGGGCUAUCAUUGUGGACCUGGCCCUUGAUAGAUGUAGACAAGCCCAGCGAUCAUCCUUUUGCCCCUUUACCG